Molecule: ribosomal RNA, 253 nt
Filed under: uncultured bacterium
Lineage: Bacteria
Description: partial 16S ribosomal RNA
Rfam family: Bacterial small subunit ribosomal RNA
Source: RNAcentral
UACGGGGGGGGCAAGCGUUGUUCGGAAUUACUGGGCGUAAAGGGCUCGUAGGCGGCCAACUAAGUCCGACGUGGAAUCCCCAGGCUUAACCUGGGAACUGCGUCGGAUACUGGAUGGCUUGAAUUCGGGAGAGGGAUGCAGAAUUCCAGGUGUAGCGGUGAAAUGCGUAGAUAUUUGGAGGAAUACCGGUGGCGAAGGCGGCAUCCUGGACCGACAUUGACGCUGAGGAGCGAAAGCUAGGGGAGCAAACGGG